ACGGGGGUGCAAGCACGGCGGCGAAAACCUUCACACCUGGAGGCCAACUCCCGAAUGAAGGGAAUUCCCUAGUGGCUAAGCACAUUAGUGUUAGCUUUUUCUUAAAGCGUAGAUAACUUAAGGAAUAAGGGCUGGGUAAGACGGGUGCCAGCCGCCGCGGCAAUACCCGCAGCCCAAGUGGUUGGUCGAUUUUAUUGAGUCUAAAACGUUCGUAGCCGGUUUGGUAAAUCCUUGGGUAAAUCGAGAGGCUUAACCUUUCGAAUUCCGAGGAGACUGCCAAACUUGGGACCGGGAGAGGCGAGAGGUACUUCUGGGGUAGGGGUAAAAUCCUGUAAUCCUAGAAGGACCACCGGUGGCGAAGGCGUCUCGCUAGAACGGAUCCGACGGUGAGGGACGAAGCCCUGGGUCGCAAACGGGAUUAGAUACCCCGGUAGUCCAGGGUGUAAACGCUGCAGACUUGGUGUUGGGGGCCCUACGGGGGCGUUCAGUGCCGGAGAGAAGUUGUUAAGUCUGCUACUUGGGGAGUACGUCCGCAAGGAUGAAACUUAAAGGAAUUGGCGGGGGAGCAC
Molecule: ribosomal RNA, 569 nt
Filed under: uncultured archaeon
Lineage: Archaea
Description: bacterial SSU rRNA
Rfam family: Archaeal small subunit ribosomal RNA
Source: RNAcentral